AAGUUUUAAAACCGGCAAUAAUCAACAAGAAAACAGUAAAAACUCUAAUAAAAAGAGUAUAUCUAUCGAAGAAAGUAAUUAUAGGAAAAAUUUAGCAAGUUUGAAACGGCGUGAGCAGUACGGACAAAACGUCAAUUUAAGAAACUGUUCAAAAAAUUCUGAAAACAAACUAAAACAAAAAAGAAACGCAUACGCAGAACAAGUCUUACAGAAAAUGUUAUCAAGUUGUACAAUACCAACAGCAGUCAAACGACACGGUUGUCAUUCGAAAUGUAAAGAUAAAUAUGAAUCGUAUGUCCGAUUAAAAAACAACGACAAUGUCAAAUUAGUCAAGAGCGAUACGUAUAUUGUGUACAAUAAUGAUUAAUAGCCGCCAGUAGGUUAAGAGUAGUAUAAAAUUAUGUCGGUCAGAAUGGUAUUUCGAUUUUUUUUUUCUCAAGAUUUUCGAUAACAACAUUGAACGCGUUGUCAUUGUAAUA
Long non-coding RNA from Adelges cooleyi (spruce gall adelgid), 479 nucleotides. RefSeq lists it as uncharacterized. The record is from RefSeq and is a predicted model, not a curated record. NCBI's taxonomy places the organism in Eukaryota, Metazoa, Arthropoda, Insecta, Hemiptera, Adelgidae. The transcript has 3 exons.